CCUACGGGUGGCAGCAGUGGGGGAUAUUGCACAAUGGGGGGAACCCUGAUGCAGCGACGCCGCGUGGGUGAAGAAGCGCCUCGGCGCGUAAAGCCCUGUCAGCAGGGAAGAAAAUGACGGUACCUGAAGAAGAAGCCCCGGCUAACUACGUGCCAGCAGCCGCGGUAAUACGUAGGGGGCAAGCGUUAUCCGGAUUUACUGGGUGUAAAGGGGGCGCAGCCGGGGAUGCAAGCCAGGAGUGAAAGCCCGGGGCUCAACCUCGGGACUGCUCUUGGAACUGCGUGGCUGGAGUGCAGGAGGGGCAGGCGGAAUGCGUGGUGUAGCGGUGAAAUGCGUAGAUAUCAGGAAGAACACCGGUGGCGAAGGCGGCCUGCUGGACUGCAACUGACGUUGAGGCCCGAAAGCGUGGGGAGCGAACAGGAUUAGAUACCCUGGUAGUC
Molecule: ribosomal RNA, 440 nt
Filed under: uncultured bacterium
Lineage: Bacteria
Description: partial 16S ribosomal RNA
Rfam family: Bacterial small subunit ribosomal RNA
Source: RNAcentral